RNAcentral lists this ribosomal RNA (254 nucleotides) under uncultured prokaryote. RNAcentral describes it as "partial 16S ribosomal RNA". It matches the Rfam family "Bacterial small subunit ribosomal RNA", at positions 524 to 777 of the family's 1533-position model. The record is from RNAcentral.
UACGGAGGAUGCAAGCGUUAUCCGGAUUCAUUGGGUUUAAAGGGUGCGUAGGCGGGCUAUUAAGUCAGUGGUGAAAUCCUGCAGCUUAACUGCAGAACUGCCGUUGAUACUGAUAGUCUUGAGUUUGGUUAAGGUAGGCGGAAUGUGUAAUGUAGCGGUGAAAUGCUUAGAUAUUACACAGAACACCAAUUGCGUAGGCAGCUUACUGAGCCGACACUGACGCUGAGGCACGAAAGCAUGGGGAUCAAACAGGA